Molecule: ribosomal RNA, 464 nt
Filed under: uncultured bacterium
Lineage: Bacteria
Description: partial 16S ribosomal RNA
Rfam family: Bacterial small subunit ribosomal RNA
Source: RNAcentral
GACGAACGCUGGCGGCGUGCUUAACACAUGCAAGUCGAACGGAAAGGCCCCUUUGGGGGUACUCGAGUGGCGAACGGGUGAGUAACACGUGAGUAACCUGCCCUUGACUUCGGGAUAACUUCAGGAAACUGGGGCUAAUACCGGAUAGGAAUCCUUGCUGCAUGGUGGGGGUUGGAAAGCUUCGGCGGUUUUGGAUGGACUCGCGGCUUAUCAGCUUGUUGGUGGGGUAGUGGCUUACCAAGGCUUUGACGGGUAGCCGGCCUGAGAGUGCGACCGGCCACAUUGGGACUGAGAUACGGCCCAGACUCCUACGGGAGGCAGCAGUGGGGAAUAUUGCACAAUGGGCGGAAGCCUGAUGCAGCAACGCCGCGUGCGGGAUGACGGCCUUCGGGUUGUAAACCGCUUUCAGCAGGGGCGAAGCUUGUGGUGACGGUACCUGCAGAAGAAGCACCGGCUGACUACGU